This 1632-nucleotide long non-coding RNA is filed under the name Homo sapiens (human). Its description in RNAcentral is "non-protein coding lnc-NEK3-1:16". Lineage: Eukaryota; Metazoa; Chordata; Mammalia; Primates; Hominidae. The record is from RNAcentral.
GUUUGGCAUGGGGACGCACUGUUACAGUUGCGCUCCUGGUUGGCUUUGUGUUUCCGCGGUGUUGGUAGAGUCUCGGUGUUUCUACCUCUUAGCACCCUUUCCUGCCACCCUUUGUCCUGUGGAAGCCCGGAGACAUCAGCGGCUGCAAUUUUGCUACUCGCUGCUCGGCAUGGAACGGUCAGGUACCGCAGUUCAGCGCUCUUGGCCCCGCAGGUCCUCGGGCAUCCCCGUGCCCCGUGCUGUACAUUCAGUUAUCCUCCGACUUCCCGGGGUCGAAGGUAUUACCUGCUGGGUUUUAGAAUCUAUUGCUUUACAUCUGAGAAAAGAAAAAUCCCAGAAAGAUAAGAUGACUUGCCCAAGAUCAUAGCGUGCCUGGAAAACAGUGCUCCGAUUACAAGCUGGUCGCUGUGCCUCAUUCGUCUUGUCAUCAACUCCUGUCAGUUUAUCCAAGCUCCAAAAGCGAAGUUGUUUUAGCUUUUGCUUCCCAAGAUUUAUUUGAUAGUCUCAUUUCUGUUUCCUUCGUUUAUUCUUUCGUUCAUUAUUGGAAAACUUUACAGCGUGCCAGUACUGGUCAUAAACCCCAAGUAAGACAGUCUUGUCGUCACGGAGGGUGUAGUUCCAGCAAGUAGACAAUACAAGUGCUGUGUAGUGAAGUAAUUGCUGAGAUAGUGUAUGGAAGCACAGAGUACACUAUUCAUGCAACAAGUAAUUGCUAGAGGAGCAAAUAGGGACACCUAACCAUUGCAGGGGCGACUCAGGAUAUCCUUUCUGGAAGAAAAGUCUGAUGAAAUCUGAAGGACCACUGGUUGAAAUUAGCCAGGAAAGAAAAGAUGUUGCAGCAUACUUGGUUUUGCUAUUUAUCCUCCGAGUACUUUAUUGUUAUGAAAGCCUAAUUCCACUGUGUAACUUCCAUGCAUAACACUCAGAAGCCAGUUUGGUUAAGUACAGUGCUGAAGCAGAUUAGUAGCAGUGAAGAUGGGAAGGACCAGCUGAAUGGAGGAGAAAAAUUGCCCAGGUAGAAUUAAGGGGAUGUGACAUCAUGGGAUAAUGGUAGGGUGGUCAGAGAGAGCAAAGAUUUCAACUGGCUGCGUUGGAGUUGGUAUCCUUAAUGUUAGCAGAAGAAUGCAGAUCCGGGGUUGAGAAAGAUUUUUACAUAUGUUAUAGUUUUUAGAAAACAAACAAAAAAAAUCUGUUUAUGUCAGGGGCAUUUUAAUAUAGAAGUGUGAAAAAUGGAAAGUCAGUCUGAAAGGGGACGUCUUGAAUGUCGUUUUGAAGGUGUUGCAUUUGAAGUACUGAUGCGAUGCUGUCAGUGGAAACAAACUCAGGUGGGAGGUUAGGUUUAGAAUUUUAUUAUAUUAGUGUUAUGGAGUUAUUUAUACAUGGUUUUCCUAUAAUGUAGAUUGCUUUCUGUGGUAUGAUAGCAGUCUUGAAAGAAAACACGGUAGUAAAGAUUAUAUGUGAGAUUCAUUCCCCUGAUUACCACCUUUCUGUAAAAAUACCUUUAGUAUUAACUAUUUAUUUAGAGCCGGAGUUUCGCUCUUACUGCCCAGGCUGAUCUUGACUCACCGCAACCUCUGCCUCCCAUGUUCAAGAGAUUCUCCUGCAUCAGCCUCCCAAAUAGAUGGGACUACA